This 1080-nucleotide ribosomal RNA is filed under the name Klebsiella pneumoniae. Its description in RNAcentral is "bacterial SSU rRNA". It matches the Rfam family "Bacterial small subunit ribosomal RNA", at positions 62 to 1112 of the family's 1533-position model. The record is from RNAcentral. Lineage: Bacteria; Pseudomonadati; Pseudomonadota; Gammaproteobacteria; Enterobacterales; Enterobacteriaceae.
CCGAGCGGUAGCACAGAGAAGCUUGCUCUCGGGUGACGAGCGGCGGACGGGUGAGUAAUGUCUGGGAAACUGCCUGAUGGAGGGGGAUAACUACUGGAAACGGUAGCUAAUACCGCAUAACGUCGCAAGACCAAAGUGGGGGACCUUCGGGCCUCAGCCAUCAGAUGUGCCCAGAUGGGAUUAGCUAGUAGGUGGGGUAACGGCUCACCUAGGCGACGAUCCCUAGCUGGUCUGAGAGGAUGACCAGCCACACUGGAACUGAGACACGGUCCAGACUCCUACGGGAGGCAGCAGUGGGGAAUAUUGCACAAUGGGCGCAAGCCUGAUGCAGCCAUGCCGCGUGUGUGAAGAAGGCCUUCGGGUUGUAAAGCACUUUCAGCGGGGAGGAAGGCGUUAAGGUUAAUAACCUUGGCGAUUGACGUUACCCGCAGAAGAAGCACCGGCUAACUCCGUGCCAGCAGCCGCGGUAAUACGGAGGGUGCAAGCGUUAAUCGGAAUUACUGGGCGUAAAGCGCACGCAGGCGGUCUGUCAAGUCGGAUGUGAAAUCCCCGGGCUCAACCUGGGAACUGCAUUCGAAACUGGCAGGCUAGAGUCUUGUAGAGGGGGGUAGAAUUCCAGGUGUAGCGGUGAAAUGCGUAGAGAUCUGGAGGAAUACCGGUGGCGAAGGCGGCCCCCUGGACAAAGACUGACGCUCAGGUGCGAAAGCGUGGGGAGCAAACAGGGAUUAGAUACCCUGGUAGUCCACGCCGUAAACGAUGUCGAUUUGGAGGUUGUGCCCUUGAGGCGUGGCUUCCGGAGCUAACGCGUUAAAUCGACCGCCUGGGGAGUACGGCCGCAAGGUUAAAAACUCAAAUGAAUUGACGGGGGCCCGCACAAGCGGUGGAGCAUGUGGUUUAAUUUCGAUUGCAACGCGAAGAACCUUACCUUGGUCUUGACAUCCACAGAACUUUCCAGAGAUGGGAUUGGUUGCUCUUCGGGAACUGUGAGACAGGUGCUGCAUGGCUUGUCGUCAAGCCUCCGUGCUUGUGAAAUGUUUGGGGUUAAGGUUCCCCCGCAACCGAGGCGCCAACCCUUUAUCC